RNAcentral lists this ribosomal RNA (405 nucleotides) under uncultured bacterium. RNAcentral's name for it is "partial 16S ribosomal RNA". It matches the Rfam family "Bacterial small subunit ribosomal RNA", at positions 28 to 526 of the family's 1533-position model. The record is from RNAcentral.
GAUGAACGCUGGCGGCGUGCCUAAUACAUGCAAGUCGAGCGAAGAGGGGACGGGUGAGUAACACGUGGAGAACAUCCUAUAAGACUGGGAUAACUUCGGGAAACCGGAGCUAAAACCGAAACUUAUCGAAGGAUCCGCACGGCAUUAGCUAGUUGGAAAGGUAACGGCUUACCAAGGCCAGGAUGCAUCGGCGACCUGAGAGGGUGAUGUGCCACACUGGAACUGAGACCAGUUCCAGCUUCCUACGGGAGGCAGCAGUAGGGAAUCUUCCGCAAUGGGCGAAAGCCUGACGGAGCAACGCCGCGUGAGUGAUGAAGGCCUUCGGCUCGUAAAGCUCUGUCAUUAGGGAAGCGUUACCCAAUCAGAAAGCCACGGCUAACUACGUGCCAGCAGCCGCGGUAAUAC